This 404-nucleotide ribosomal RNA is filed under the name uncultured bacterium. Its description in RNAcentral is "bacterial SSU rRNA". It matches the Rfam family "Bacterial small subunit ribosomal RNA", at positions 355 to 776 of the family's 1533-position model. The record is from RNAcentral.
UGGGGAAUUUUGCGCAAUGGGGGAAACCCUGACGCAGCAACGCCGCGUGAAGGAAGAAGGCUUUCGAGUUGUAAACUUCUGUUCCGGGGGACGAUAAUGACGGUACCCCGGCAGCAAGCCCCGGCUAACUCCGUGCCAGCAGCCGCGGUAAUACGGGGGGGGCGAGCGUUGUUCGGAAUUACUGGGCGUAAAGGGCGCGUAGGCGGUCCGAGAAGUUUCGGGUGAAAGCCCCGGGCUCAACCCGGGAAGGUCCCGGAAAACCAUCGGACUGGAGUGCUGGAGAGGCAAGCGGAAUUUCUGGUGUAGCGGUGAAAUGCGUAGAUAUCAGAAGGAACAUCGGAGGCGAAGGCGGCUUGCUGGACAGCAACUGACGCUGAGGCGCGAAAGCCAGGGGAGCGAACGGG